This 360-nucleotide long non-coding RNA is filed under the name Homo sapiens (human). RNAcentral's name for it is "HSALNT0028865". The record is from RNAcentral. Lineage: Eukaryota; Metazoa; Chordata; Mammalia; Primates; Hominidae.
GCGGUGGCGGCGGCGGCGGUGGCGGCCGAGGAGGAGAACAUGGCGGCCGCGGAGAGCGGCUGAAAUGCCUGUUCUUCAGGCCGGGCGAGCGGGAGUCUGACGCGAUUUGCUGAGCUCUGUCCUCCGACGGCUGCCUCGCGGCCUUGAGGGCCUCCGCCGCCUGUUCGCUGCUGCUCCCUCGAGCGGAGCCUGCGUCAGGUUCCCUCUGCAUCCCCCUGCGGGGGGACCCCUGCUCCGGAGGAGGGGGCCGGAGAGCCGCGGCGCCGGGCCCGAGGAGCGGCGGAGGCCGGGGCGGCGCCGCCGCCACGGUCGCGGACGAGUGCGGCGCCGGUGAGCGGGGCCCAGAGGCGGCGGCGGCAG